Molecule: ribosomal RNA, 184 nt
Filed under: uncultured bacterium
Lineage: Bacteria
Description: partial 16S ribosomal RNA
Rfam family: Bacterial small subunit ribosomal RNA
Source: RNAcentral
CUCCUACGGGGGGCAGGCAGUGGGGAAUCUUGCACAAUGGACGAAAGUCUGAUGCAGCAACGCCGCGUGGGGGAUGAAGCUUUUCGGAGUGUAAACCCUUUCGACCCGGAAGAAUGCCCGCAAGGGCUUGACGGUACGGGUAUAAGAAGCCCGGCUAACUACGUGCCAGCCGCCGCGGUAAUUC